GAAGCUGUGAGUCUGUUAAUCAGGAGGAAGAGGAGCUGAGAGCUUCAGGGAGGAGCUGAGCUGUUACUGAACUAUAGAAGAGACACAAACUUCCACAUUCAACACAGUUCAAACAUUAACUCUGAUCAUCAUGCUGUCUUUGCUCACAUCUGGAUUUACUCUGCUGGUUCUGCUUAUAGGAACAGGUGUAAACUGUAAACAUCUCACUGCAGCAAAGACUGAGGAGUCUUCUUUAGAGGAACACUCUGUGACUCUGUCCUGCACUUACUCUCAAACUGCUGCUUAUAAUGAUUAUAUCUUCUGGUAUCGACAACUUCCUGGAAAACCUCCCCAGUACCUGGUCUCUCAUUCAGGAACAGGAGAUAAAGUCCAGGAUCCAGUUCCUGGUUUCUCAUUCAGAGUCAAUGAUGAUAAAACCCAGAUGGAGCUGCUGAUCUCCUCUGCUGCAGUGACUGACUCUGCUGUGUACUACUGUGCUGUGAGGCCCACAGUGACAGGAAACACCAGAACUCUGUACAAGAACCUGCAAUACUCCACAACAUCCACUAGAGGGCCUCACACACUGUUCCUCCUCUAUGGUUUGUUAGGAUUCAGUCUGAUUGUUUGUGCAGCUGAGAAUAAAGCAGACAUCAGAGUGUUUGCUGCAUCAUUGAACUCUUUAUGAUGAGAAGGUUUGGAUCAUAAAGGAGGGAUGAUGGAGGCUCCAGGAUGGAAGUGCAGCCUCUGCAGGACAUCAGCACCAUGGACAGAGUUCUGUUCCACCAUCUAGAUGUGUUUCAGUCCAGUUAGGCCCUGCUGUCAGACCACUGAUCUUUUAAAUAAAGAUUUAUCUCCACAGGCUAAAACCUCAUGAUGCAUUUCAUUA
Molecule: non-coding RNA, 865 nt
Organism: Cyprinodon tularosa
Lineage: Eukaryota; Metazoa; Chordata; Actinopteri; Cyprinodontiformes; Cyprinodontidae
Source: the annotation of a RefSeq genome assembly